UCAAAUGCAAUGAACGGGAUAAGUAAAUUAGCUGCGCUAUUAUCAGAGAGCCGGGGGGUGGUGUGACCCGGUAGGCGUGCAUAUUGAAAUACACCCGUGAGCAGCAGGUCGAACGGAAUACAAGUAGACUGCGCCGGAGGCCACCGUUAUCAUAGGCUAGGGUAUCGGAAUUCCUGUACCUGAAAGAGUGGCUUGCUAUUUAUUUAAGCAAGCAGGGUGGUACCGCGAGUAAAGUCUCGUCCCUGUA
This 247-nucleotide non-coding RNA is filed under the name Sporomusa sphaeroides. Its description in RNAcentral is "T-box sequence". It matches the Rfam family "T-box leader". Rfam says of the family: Uncharged tRNA acts as the effector for transcription antitermination of genes in the T-box leader family. T-boxes are found upstream of many aminoacyl-tRNA synthetase genes and some amino acid biosynthetic genes usually in Gram-positive bacteria. The anticodon of a specific tRNA base pairs to a specifier sequence within the T-box motif, and the NCCA acceptor tail of the tRNA base pairs to a conserved bulge in the T-box antiterminator hairpin. The record is from RNAcentral. Lineage: Bacteria; Bacillati; Bacillota; Negativicutes; Selenomonadales; Sporomusaceae. RNAcentral also lists the same sequence under 1 other name.